GACGAACCGAGCGAACGUUGUUCGGAAUCACUGGGCUUAAAGGGCGCGUAGGCGGGUGCUCAAGUCCGUGGUGAAAUCCUCCGGCUCAACCGGAGAACUGCCUCGGAUACUGGGCGUCUCGAGUGUGGUAGGGGUAUGCGGAACUAUCGGUGGAGCGGUGAAAUGCGUAGAUAUGCGGAGGAACACCGAUGGCGAAGGCAAUCCCCUGGGCCUGCACUGACGCUCAUGCACGAAAGCGUGGGGAGCAAACAGG
RNAcentral lists this ribosomal RNA (253 nucleotides) under uncultured bacterium. RNAcentral describes it as "partial 16S ribosomal RNA". It matches the Rfam family "Bacterial small subunit ribosomal RNA", at positions 524 to 776 of the family's 1533-position model. The record is from RNAcentral.